Eptesicus fuscus (big brown bat) is the source of this 955-nucleotide long non-coding RNA. RefSeq lists it as uncharacterized. The record is from RefSeq and is a predicted model, not a curated record. The transcript is spliced from 3 exons. Lineage: Eukaryota; Metazoa; Chordata; Mammalia; Chiroptera; Vespertilionidae.
AGGUGGGUGCCUGUGCCCAAGUCAUCUGUGUGUACACCUCGGACGUCGGCCUUUCCCUCAGCGCACGCUUCACCUCACUGUUUGAACGGAAUUGGAAACAAAAGGCAAAGCUGGGAAGGAACGCAGGGCUCCCGAGAGCGGCCGAAAGCACGCAGCGGGGCGGCACCACUGCCUGAGGAUACGGGGCGAGGGCACUGCAGCUGAUUGAAACGCAAGGAGAAACGUUCUUGAAACUGUACACCAAGCGUGCCAAACUCACGGCCCGGGCUGCAUGCGGCCCACAACAAAUAUUUUUGUGGCCCAGCCAAUAUAACGAAACUAUGGACCACAUGGUUGAAAAUGAAAACAGUGGUCAUUCACCACCGAGCUGCGAACAGCACCGCCUGGACCACGACCCGACCAGACUUUCCUCUGGGACGAAGCCGUUGCUCGAAGUCUGACAGCCCUUCAGCUCAGGCAUCUGAGGACAUUCUUUAGUUCGAAUCUUUGUUCCUAAGAACAGGCCAAACUACUCAUUUGAGAAAAUUCUGGAAUUAUUAUUGUGCAUAAUAUUAAGCUUUUAUAAAUAUAAGGAAGAAUUUUGAAGAAUUUUUUCAAACAUAGGGAAAAAUUAAACAUCAAGGAAAGUAAGUCAAUUUUUAAAUCCACCUUGUGAAACAUGGCACAAAUCUUUAUGAGGUACUAAUAGAUUGAUAUAUAUUGAUACAGAGUGAGGCCCAAGAUGUGUUAGGUGAAAAAAAAGUUGUAAAACUGUACUUGGAAUAUGAUGCUGUAUUUUAAACAAAAAAACUAUGUGCAUGAAAAAAAAUCUGAAUUAAAAUACAAUAAAUAAUUGUUAUAUCUGGUAAUGUUCGGCUUAUAGGGCACAAUUAUGUUUUUGUUUUAUAUCUGCUUUGUGUGUGCAUUUAACAUUUUUACCAUGAGUACAUUUCGUAAUAGAAAAGGAAAUUUCAUG